CCUACGGGAGGCAGCAGUGGGGAAUAUUGCGCAAUGGACGCAAGUCUGAACCAGCCAUGCCGCGUGCAGGAUGACGGCUCUAUGAGUUGUAAACUGCUUUUGUACGAGGGUAAACCCCGAUACGUGUAUCGGGUUGAAAGUAUCGUACGAAUAAGGAUCGGCUAACUCCGUGCCAGCAGCCGCGGUAAUACGGAGGAUCCGAGCGUUAUCCGGAUUUAUUGGGUUUAAAGGGUGCGUAGGCGGUUUGAUAAGUUAGAGGUGAAAUGUCGGGGCUCAACCCCAUCCAGCCGUUGAAACUGGGGAUCUAGAGUGUGCGAGAGGUAUGCGGAAUGCGUGGUGUAGCGGUGAAAUGCAUAGAUAUCACGCAGAACCCCGAUUGCGAAGGCAGCAUACCGGUGCACAACUGACGCUCAGGCACGAAAGCGUGGGUAUCGAACAGGAUUAGAUACCCCUGUAGUC
RNAcentral lists this ribosomal RNA (459 nucleotides) under uncultured bacterium. RNAcentral's name for it is "partial 16S ribosomal RNA". It matches the Rfam family "Bacterial small subunit ribosomal RNA", at positions 338 to 795 of the family's 1533-position model. The record is from RNAcentral.